CGGAUGGAUUAGCCGCCCGUGGGAGAUGAGGCGGCGGCGGGAAGACCGGAGGCAGCGGCGCCGGCGGGGAGAUGAGCGUCCACGCAGACCAGCGGCGCCGACGACGCAGUCACGUUCACGCAGCGACGCACGCAGGACGCAGCCGCCGCCUCUCAGCCGUGGACGGUCGUGACUCCCCUCAGAAGAUAGGGUUUUCAUCGCUUGGGCUUGGACUGUGAACGGAU
Molecule: long non-coding RNA, 224 nt
Filed under: Oryza brachyantha (malo sina)
Lineage: Eukaryota; Viridiplantae; Streptophyta; Magnoliopsida; Poales; Poaceae
Description: long non-coding RNA (OBRA_LNC003427)
Source: RNAcentral